AGAUCGUAACAAGGUUCCGU
Molecule: ribosomal RNA, 20 nt
Filed under: Dinophysis ovum
Lineage: Eukaryota; Dinophyceae; Dinophysales; Dinophysaceae
Description: partial 18S ribosomal RNA
Source: RNAcentral